ACUCAAAUUAAUUCAAUCAUAGGUUGACGAAGACUCUGGCCUCGAGUCUAAUUGUUUUUUUAAAAAAUG
RNAcentral lists this small RNA (69 nucleotides) under uncultured Candidatus Pelagibacter sp. RNAcentral describes it as "bablM sRNA". It matches the Rfam family "bablM sRNA". Lineage: Bacteria; Pseudomonadati; Pseudomonadota; Alphaproteobacteria; Candidatus Pelagibacterales; Candidatus Pelagibacteraceae. The record is from RNAcentral.